Molecule: ribosomal RNA, 434 nt
Filed under: Oceanobacillus iheyensis
Lineage: Bacteria; Bacillati; Bacillota; Bacilli; Caryophanales; Bacillaceae
Description: bacterial SSU rRNA
Rfam family: Bacterial small subunit ribosomal RNA
Source: RNAcentral
AAAGGAAAGUUUAACGAGUGAAUUAUUGAUCCCUUCGCUGUGACGUUAAUGGAUCUAGCGGCGGACGGGUGAGUAACACGUGGGCAACCUGCCUGUAAGACUGGGAUAACUCGCGGAAACGCGAGCUAAUACCGGAUAACACUUUGAAACACACGGUUUGAAGAUGAAAGGCGGCGCAAGCCGUCACCUACCGAUGGGCCCCCGCGGAUUAACUCUAGGUGGAGAGGUAACGGCUCACCAAGGCGACGAUGCGUAGCCGACCUGAGAGGGUGAUCGGCCACACUGGGACUGAAACACGGCCCAGACUCCUACGGAGGCCAGCAGUAGGGCUCUGCGGCAAGGACCGAAGGCCGCAUGGCACCGCCGCGUGGGUAAUGCAGGUUCCGUAUUGUAACACUCUUGUUGUUAGGAAGAACCGAUGAAGUAAUGAUCUG